GACGAACGCUGGCGGCGUGCUUAACACAUGCAAGUCGAACGAAGUGGCGAACGGGUGAGUAACGCGUAAUCAACCUGCCCUUCAGAGGGGGACAACAGUUGGAAACGACUGCUAAUACCGCAUACUGAAGGAGGGGAUUGCGUCUGAUUAGCUAGUUGGAGGGGUAAGGUCCCACCAAGGCGAUGAUCAGUAGCCGGUCUGAGCGGAUGACCAGCCACACCGGGACUGAGACACGGCCCGGACUCCUACGGGAGGCAGCAGUGGGGAAUAUUGCGCAAUGGGGGCAACCCUGACGCAGCCAUGCCGCGUGAAUGAAGAAGGCCUUCGGGUUGUAAAACUCUGUUGUUAGAGAAGCGGUAUCUAACCAGAAAGCCACGGCUAACUACGUGCCAGCAGCCGCGGUACUAC
Molecule: ribosomal RNA, 408 nt
Filed under: uncultured bacterium
Lineage: Bacteria
Description: partial 16S ribosomal RNA
Rfam family: Bacterial small subunit ribosomal RNA
Source: RNAcentral